GUGAGGAAUAUUGGUCAAUGGGCGAGAGCCUGAACCAGCCAAGUAGCGUGCGGGACGACGGCCCUAUGGGUUGUAAACCGCUUUUGCAGGGGAAUAAAGUGGGCCACGUGUGGUCUUUUGCAUGUACCCUGAGAAUAAGGACCGGCUAAUUCCGUGCCAGCAGCCGCGGUAAUACGGAAGGUCCGGGCGUUAUCCGGAUUUAUUGGGUUUAAAGGGAGCGCAGGCCGGAGGGUAAGCGUGACGUGAAAUGCCGCGGCUCAACCGUGGAAGUGCGUCGCGAACUGUCCUUCUUGAGUGCGAACGACGUUGGCGGAAUUCGUGGUGUAGCGGUGAAAUGCUUAGAUAUCACGAAGAACCCCGAUUGCGAAGGCAGCCAACGAGGCCGCAACUGACGCUAAAGCUCGAAGGUGCGGGUAUCGAACAGGAUUAGAAACCCUAGUAGUCC
Molecule: ribosomal RNA, 445 nt
Filed under: uncultured bacterium
Lineage: Bacteria
Description: bacterial SSU rRNA
Rfam family: Bacterial small subunit ribosomal RNA
Source: RNAcentral